GCUUACUGCCAUACCACCUUAGGCACGCCCGAUCUCGUCUGAUCUCGGAAGCUAAGCAGGGUCGGGCCUGGUUAGUACUUGGAUGGGUGACCGCCUGGGAAUACCUGGUGCUGUAAGCA
This is a ribosomal RNA of Gadus morhua (Atlantic cod), 119 nucleotides long. The record is from Ensembl. Lineage: Eukaryota; Metazoa; Chordata; Actinopteri; Gadiformes; Gadidae.